AGUGGUGUUUUCAAAAAUAACUACGAAAGUUAACCGCGUCAUACCUUACGUAGCUAGGAAUGACACACGGAGAGCUUAUUUCUUGAUUCCCCUCUUAGCGUCACUUGUCUGAUGUCGCUAUCGUAUAUGGCAACAUUAUAACGGUUCGACGAAACAUUAGUUCUCAUCGAAGCUGAUAAGAGAAAAUAUCAUUGAAACCACGAUAUAGGACUAUGCAGCCAUCCAUUCUGCUAGCCUUGUGCCUGAUUGCAGUUUACUGUGUGCAGCCUUGUACUAUGGGCGGAUCUCGGAAAUCGUCCAGCGAAGUAACAGUGGCUCCAAACGAAGAAAGCUUUGCUGCAAUAUCCGUGGCAAUUCAAAAUGGUGCCCUCCAACGAAUUUACCAUCAAAUAGAAAUUGCAGAGUGGUGAAUGGAUCCGACGCUGAUUAUCCAUAUUGUUGCGCGCAAGUUAUAUGUCAAUAAAAUUUGUCUAAGUGCUCAA
Long non-coding RNA from Dermacentor silvarum, 482 nucleotides. RefSeq lists it as uncharacterized. The record is from RefSeq and is a predicted model, not a curated record. The transcript has 3 exons. Lineage: Eukaryota; Metazoa; Arthropoda; Arachnida; Ixodida; Ixodidae.